RNAcentral lists this ribosomal RNA (868 nucleotides) under uncultured organism. Its description in RNAcentral is "bacterial SSU rRNA". It matches the Rfam family "Bacterial small subunit ribosomal RNA", at positions 22 to 934 of the family's 1533-position model. The record is from RNAcentral.
GCUCAGGAUGAACGCUGGCGGUCUGCUUAACACAUGCAAGUCGAACGCAACCUUCGGGUUGAGUGGCGGACGGGUGAGUAACGCGUGAGAAUCUGCCUUGGGGUCGGGGACAACCACUGGAAACGGUGGCUAAUACCGGAUAAGCCUUUGGGUAAAAGAUUUAUUGCCCCAAGAGGAGCUCGCGUCUGAUUAGCUAGUUGGUGAGGUAAAAGCUCACCAAGGCAGCGAUCAGUAGCUGGUCUGAGAGGACGAUCAGCCACACUGGGACUGAGACACGGCCCAGACUCCUACGGGAGGCAGCAGUGGGGAAUUUUCCGCAAUGGGCGAAAGCCUGACGGAGCAAGACCGCGUGAGGGAGGAAGGCUCUUGGGUUGUAAACCUCUUUUCUCAGGGAAGAAGCUCUGACGGUACCUGAGGAAUCAGCCUCGGCUAACUCCGUGCCAGCAGCCGCGGUAAUACGGAGGAGGCAAGCGUUAUCCGGAAUUAUUGGGCGUAAAGCGUCCGCAGGUGGCGAUUCAAGUCUGCUGUCAAAGCACGGGGCUUAACUCCGUUAAGGCAGUGGAAACUGAAUAGCUAGAGUGCCGUAGGGGUAGAGGGAAUUCCCGGUGUAGCGGUGAAAUGCGUAGAGAUCGGGAAGAACAUCGGUGGCGAAAGCGCUCUACUGGACGGCAACUGACACUCAGGGACGAAAGCUAGGGGAGCGAAUGGGAUUAGAUACCCCAGUAGUCCUAGCUGUAAACGAUGGAUACUAGGUGUAGCUUGUAUCGACCCGAGCUGUGCCGAAGCUAACGCGUUAAGUAUCCCGNCUGGGGAGUACGCACGCAAGUGUGAAACUCAAAGGAAUUGACGGGGGCCCGCACAAGCGGUG